UGACUGGUUUUCAUGAGGUAAAUGGGGGUCACACCAGAUACUGACUGGUUUUCAUGAGGUAAAUGGGGGUCACACCAGAUACUGACUGGUUUUCAUGAGGUAAAUGGGGGUCACACCAGAUACUGACUGGUUUUCAUGAGCUAAAUGGUCACACCAGAUACUGACUGGUUUUUAUGAGGUAAAUGGGGG
This is a long non-coding RNA of Oncorhynchus keta (chum salmon), 189 nucleotides long. RefSeq lists it as uncharacterized. NCBI's taxonomy places the organism in Eukaryota, Metazoa, Chordata, Actinopteri, Salmoniformes, Salmonidae. The transcript is spliced from 3 exons. The record is from RefSeq and is a predicted model, not a curated record.